GACGAACGCUGGCGGCGUGCUUAACACAUGCAAGUCGAGCGGUAAGGCCCUUUCGGGGGUACACGAGCGGCGAACGGGUGAGUAACACGUGGGUGACCUGCCCUCAGCUCUGGGAUAAGCCUGGGAAACCGGGUCUAAUACUGGAUAUGACUCCAUGACGCAUGUUGUGGGGUGGAAAGCCUUGUGCGGCUGAGGAUGGGCCCGCGGCCUAUCAGCUUGUUGGUGGGGUGANGGCCUACCAAGGCGACGACGGUAGCCGGCCUGAGAGGGCGACCGGCCACACUGGGACUGAGACACGGCCCAGACUCCUACGGGAGGCAGCAGUGGGGAAUCUUGCGCAAUGGGCGAAAGCCUGACGCAGCGACGCCGCGUGAGGGAUGACGGCCU
RNAcentral lists this ribosomal RNA (387 nucleotides) under uncultured bacterium. Its description in RNAcentral is "bacterial SSU rRNA". It matches the Rfam family "Bacterial small subunit ribosomal RNA", at positions 28 to 417 of the family's 1533-position model. The record is from RNAcentral.